This 374-nucleotide ribosomal RNA is filed under the name uncultured organism. Its description in RNAcentral is "partial 16S ribosomal RNA". It matches the Rfam family "Bacterial small subunit ribosomal RNA", at positions 527 to 896 of the family's 1533-position model. The record is from RNAcentral.
GUAGGUGGCAAGCGUUGUCCGGAAUUAUUGGGCGUAAAGCGCGCGCAGGUGGUUCUUUAAGUCUGAUGUGAAAGCCCCCGGCUCAACCGGGGAGGGUCAUUGGAAACUGGGGAACUUGAGUGCAGGAGAGGAAAGUGGAAUUCCACGUGUAGCGGUGAAAUGCGUAGAUAUGUGGAGGAACACCAGUGGCGAAGGCGACUUUCUGGCCUGUAACUGACACUGAGGCGCGAAAGCGUGGGGAGCAAACAGGGAUUAGAUACCCUGGUAGUCCACGCCGUAAACAAUGAGUGCUAAGUGUUGGGGGGGUUUCCCGCCCCUCAGUGCUGCAGCUAACGCAUUAAGCACUCCGCCUGGGGAGUACGGUCGCAAGACUG